Molecule: ribosomal RNA, 801 nt
Filed under: uncultured bacterium
Lineage: Bacteria
Description: bacterial SSU rRNA
Rfam family: Bacterial small subunit ribosomal RNA
Source: RNAcentral
CAUCACGGGGUAGCAAUACUCUGGUGGCGACCGGCGCACGGGUGAGUAACACGUAUGCAACCUACCCUGUACAGGGGGAUAACCCGGAGAAAUUCGGACUAAUACCCCAUGAAUAUACCGAGAGGCAUCUUUUGGUAUUUAAAGCUCAGGCGGUACGGGAUGGGCAUGCGGAACAUUAGCUAGUUGGCAGGGUAACGGCCUACCAAGGCUACGAUGUUUAGGGGACCUGAGAGGGUGAUCCCCCACACUGGUACUGAGACACGGACCAGACUCCUACGGGAGGCAGCAGUGAGGAAUAUUGGUCAAUGGGCGCAAGCCUGAACCAGCCAUCCCGCGUGCAGGAAGACGGCCCUAUGGGUUGUAAACUGCUUUUCCAGGGGGUGAAACUCCCGGUCGUGACCGGGAUUGACGGUACCCUGGGAAUAAGCAUCGGCUAACUCCGUGCCAGCAGCCGCGGUAAUACGGAGGAUGCGAGCGUUAUCCGGAUUUAUUGGGUUUAAAGGGUGCGUAAGCGGAUCAAUAAGUCAGUGGUGAAACCCUGCAGCUUAACUGUAGACUUGCCGUUGAUACUGUUGGUCUUGAGUGUGGUCAAGGUAGGCGGAAUGUGUAAUGUAGCGGUGAAAUGCUUAGAUAUUACACAGAACACCGAUUGCGAAGGCAGCUUGCUGGACCAUUACUGACGCUGAUGCACGAAAGCGUGGGGAUCGAACAGGAUUAGAUACCCUGGUAGUCCACGCCGUAAACGAUGAUCACUCGCUGUUGGCGAUACACAGUCAGCGGCUAAGCAAAAGCAUUAAGUGA